This 482-nucleotide ribosomal RNA is filed under the name uncultured bacterium. RNAcentral's name for it is "partial 16S ribosomal RNA". It matches the Rfam family "Bacterial small subunit ribosomal RNA", at positions 30 to 505 of the family's 1533-position model. The record is from RNAcentral.
AUUGAACGCUGGCGGCAGGCCUAACACAUGCAAGUCGAGCGGAUGAAGGGAGCUUGCUCCUGGAUUCAGCGGCGGACGGGUGAGUAAUGCCUAGGAAUCUGCCUGGUAGUGGGGGAUAACGUCCGGAAACGGGCGCUAAUACCGCAUACGUCCUGAGGGAGAAAGUGGGGGAUCUUCGGACCUCACGCUAUCAGAUGAGCCUAGGUCGGAUUAGCUAGUUGGUGGGGUAAAGGCCUACCAAGGCGACGAUCCGUAACUGGUCUGAGAGGAUGAUCAGUCACGGUCGGACUGAGACACCGUCCAGACUCCGACGGGAGGCAGCAGUGGGGAAUUUCGGACGAUGGGCGAAAGCCUGAUCCAGCCAUGCCGCGUGUGUGAAGAAGGUCUUCGGAUUGGAAAGCACUUUAAGUUGGGAGGAAGGGCAGUAAGUUACUACCUUGCUGUUUUGACGUUACCAACAGAAUACGCACCGGCUAACUUCG